RNAcentral lists this ribosomal RNA (524 nucleotides) under Vibrio vulnificus. RNAcentral describes it as "bacterial SSU rRNA". It matches the Rfam family "Bacterial small subunit ribosomal RNA", at positions 352 to 868 of the family's 1533-position model. The record is from RNAcentral. Lineage: Bacteria; Pseudomonadati; Pseudomonadota; Gammaproteobacteria; Vibrionales; Vibrionaceae.
CAGUGGGGAAUAUUGCACAAUGGGCGCAAGCCUGAUGCAGCCAUGCCGCGUGUGUGAAGAAGGCCUUCGGGUUGUAAAGCACUUUCAGUUGUGAGGAAGGUGGUGUCGUUAAUAGCGGCAUCAUUUGACGUUAGCAACAGAAGAAGCACCGGCUAACUCCGUGCCAGCAGCCGCGGUAAUACGGAGGGUGCGAGCGUUAAUCGGAAUUACUGGGCGUAAAGCGCAUGCAGGUGGUUUGUUAAGUCAGAUGUGAAAGCCCGGGGCUCAACCUCGGAACUGCAUUUGAAACUGGCAGACUAGAGUACUGUAGAGGGGGGUAGAAUUUCAGGUGUAGCGGUGAAAUGCGUAGAGAUCUGAAGGAAUACCGGUGGCGAAGGCGGCCCCCUGGACAGAUACUGACACUCAGAUGCGAAAGCGUGGGGAGCAAACAGGAUUAGAUACCCUGGUAGUCCACGCUGUAAACGAUGUCUACUUGGAGGUUGUGGCCUUGAGCCGUGGCUUUCGGAGCUAACGCGUUAAGUAGA